RNAcentral lists this ribosomal RNA (253 nucleotides) under uncultured bacterium. RNAcentral describes it as "partial 16S ribosomal RNA". It matches the Rfam family "Bacterial small subunit ribosomal RNA", at positions 524 to 776 of the family's 1533-position model. The record is from RNAcentral.
GACGGAGGGUGCAAGCGUUGUUCGGAAUUACUGGGCGUAAAGGGCGCGCAGGCGGUCGUUCAAGUCGCGUGUGAAAGCCCCCGGCUCAACUGGGGAGGGUCACGCGAUACUGAUCGACUCGAAGGCAGGAGAGGGUAGUGGAAUUCCCGGUGUAGUGGUGAAAUGCGUAGAUAUCGGGAGGAACGCCAGUGGCGAAAGCGGCAGACUGGACCCUUCCUGACGCUGAGGCGCGAAAGCUAGGGGAGCAAACGGG